UACGUAGGGAGCAAGCGUUGUCCGGAAUCAUUGGGCGUAAAGCGCGCGUAGGCGGCCCGAUAAGUCCGCUGUGAAAGUCAACGGCUCAACUGUUGGAUGCCGGUGGAUACUGUCGGGCUAGAGUACGGAAGAGGCAAGUGGAAUUCCUGGUGUAGCGGUGGAAUGCGCAGAUAUCAGGAGGAACACCUAGAGCGAAGGCAGCUUGCUGGGACGUUACUGACGCUAAGGCGCGAAAGCGUGGGGAGCGAACAGG
This 253-nucleotide ribosomal RNA is filed under the name uncultured bacterium. RNAcentral describes it as "partial 16S ribosomal RNA". It matches the Rfam family "Bacterial small subunit ribosomal RNA", at positions 524 to 776 of the family's 1533-position model. The record is from RNAcentral.